AAUCCGUGGUGUGGGCAAUCUCUCAUUCAUUUUUUAUAUCUCUCUCAUGCUUCAAAAAGAGAUUCACUGUCCAUCUACCUGAAGCAGAUAAUUUGGUUACUAAAUGU
Small nucleolar RNA from Medicago truncatula (barrel medic), 107 nucleotides. It matches the Rfam family "Plant small nucleolar RNA R71". Rfam says of the family: R71 is a member of the C/D box family of snoRNAs containing the C (UGAUGA) and D (CUGA) box motifs. Multiple nearly identical copies of this snoRNA have been identified in Arabidopsis, and it is thought to function as a 2'-O-ribose methylation guide for 18S ribosomal RNA. NCBI's taxonomy places the organism in Eukaryota, Viridiplantae, Streptophyta, Magnoliopsida, Fabales, Fabaceae. The record is from Rfam.